AGAACGAACGCUGGCGGCAUGCCUAAUACAUGCAAGUCGAACGAACUCUUCGGAGUUAGUGGCGCACGGGUGCGUAACGCGUGGGAAUCUGCCCCUUGGUUCGGAAUAACAGUUGGAAACGACUGCUAAUACCGGAUGAUGACGAAAGUCCAAAGAUUUAUCGCCAAGGGAUGAGCCCGCGUAGGAUUAGCUAGUUGGUGAGGUAAAGGCUCACCAAGGCAACGAUCCUUAGCUGGUCUGAGAGAUGAUCACGCCACACGUGGGACUGGACGACACCGGCCCAGACCUCCGUACGGGAGGCGAGCAGGUAGGAAUAGUAGGACAAGUGGGAC
Molecule: ribosomal RNA, 332 nt
Filed under: uncultured soil bacterium
Lineage: Bacteria
Description: bacterial SSU rRNA
Rfam family: Bacterial small subunit ribosomal RNA
Source: RNAcentral